UACGUAGGGGGCAAGCGUUGUCCGGAUUUAUUGGGCGUAAAGAGCGUGUAGGCGGUCUGGUAGGUCCGCUGUGAAAACUCGAGCUCAACCUCGAGACGCCGGUGGAAACCAUCAGACUAGAGUCCGGAAGAGGAGAGUGGAAUUCCUGGUGUAGCGGUGAAAUGCGCAGAUAUCAGGAAGAACACCCGUGGCUAAGGCGGCUCUCUAGUACGGUACUGACGCUGAGACGCGAAAGCGUGGGGAGCGAACAGG
RNAcentral lists this ribosomal RNA (252 nucleotides) under uncultured bacterium. Its description in RNAcentral is "partial 16S ribosomal RNA". It matches the Rfam family "Bacterial small subunit ribosomal RNA", at positions 524 to 776 of the family's 1533-position model. The record is from RNAcentral.